RNAcentral lists this ribosomal RNA (418 nucleotides) under uncultured bacterium. RNAcentral's name for it is "bacterial SSU rRNA". It matches the Rfam family "Bacterial small subunit ribosomal RNA", at positions 46 to 392 of the family's 1533-position model. The record is from RNAcentral.
GGCCGCGGGAAUUCGAUUCAGGCCUAACACAUGCAAGUCGAGCGGUAACAGGGGGUCUCACCGUUCCGUUGACACACCUAGCGCGAAUAUCGUAGGUUGAUGACUUCGAGGGAACAGUGAGACUCUGCUGACGAGCGGCGGACGGCUGAGUAACGCGUGGGAACAGACCCCAAACUGAGGGAUAACGCACCGAAAGGUGUGCUAAUACCGCAUACGCUCUUCGGAGUAAAGGAUUUAUCCGGUUUGGGACUGGCCUGCGUACGAUUAGAUAGUUGGUAGGGUAAUGGCCUACCAAGUCGACGAUCGUUAGAUGGUUUGAGAAGAUGAUCAUCCAGACUGGGACUGAGACACGGCCCAGACUCCUACGGGAGGCAGCAGUAGGGAAUCUUUCAAGAGGGGCGAAAGCCUGAUGGAGCAA